CCUACGGGGGGCAGCAGUGAGGAAUAUUGGUCAAUGGACGAGAGUCUGAACCAGCCAAGUAGCGUGCAGGAUGACUGCCCUAUGGGUUGUAAACUUCUUUUAUAUGGGAAUAAAAUGUUCCACGUGUGGGAUUUUGUAUGUACCAUAUGAAUAAGGAUCGGCUAACUCCGUGCCAGCAGCCGCGGUAAUACGGAGGAUCCGAGCGUUAUCCGGAUUUAUUGGGUUUAAAGGGAGCGUAGGUGGAUUGUUAAGUCAGUUGUGAAAGUUUGCGGCUCAACCGUAAAAUUGCAGUUGAAACUGGCAGUCUUGAGUACAGUAGAGGAGGGCGGAAUUCGUGGUGUAGCGGUGAAAUGCUUAGAUAUCACGAAGAACUCCGAUUGCGAAGGCAGCUCACUGGACUGCAACUGACACUGAGGCUCGAAAGUGUGGGGAUCAAACAGGAUUAGAUACCCUAGUAGUC
This 460-nucleotide ribosomal RNA is filed under the name uncultured bacterium. Its description in RNAcentral is "partial 16S ribosomal RNA". It matches the Rfam family "Bacterial small subunit ribosomal RNA", at positions 338 to 795 of the family's 1533-position model. The record is from RNAcentral.